AAAGGAAUAGACGGGGGCCCGCACAAGCGGAGGAGCAUGUGGUUUAAUUCGAUGAUACGCGAGGAACCUUACCUGGGCUCGAACGUAAGAUGACCGUAUGUGAAAGCAUAUUUCCCUUCGGGGCAUUUUACGAGGUGCUGCAUGGUUGUCGUCAGCUCGUGCCGUGAGGUGUCGGGUUAAGUCCCAUAACGAGCGCAACCCCUAUCUUUAGUUGCCAACAGGUCAAGCUGGGGACUCUAAAGAAACUGCCUACGCAAGUAGUGAGGAAGGCGGGGAUGACGUCAAAUCAGCACGGCCCUUACGUCCAGGGCUACACACGUGCUACAAUGGCCGAUACAGAGGGCAGCUACCUGGUGACAGGAUGCAAAUCUCCAAAGUCGGUCUCAGUUCGGAUCGAAGUCUGCAACCCGACUUCGUGAAGUUGGAUUCGCUAGUAAUCGCAUAUCAGCCAUGAUGCGGUGAAUACGUUCCCGGGCCUUGUACACACCGCCCGU
This 494-nucleotide ribosomal RNA is filed under the name uncultured bacterium. RNAcentral's name for it is "bacterial SSU rRNA". It matches the Rfam family "Bacterial small subunit ribosomal RNA", at positions 903 to 1397 of the family's 1533-position model. The record is from RNAcentral.